CCACAGGCUGGGAGGUGUGGGGAGACCAUUGUUUGGGGCCACAGGAAAAAGUCAAGAGUUGAGACCCCAGGUGGCCCAGACCUGGCAGGGACAGGCAGCAGCCUGGAGGUCAGUCUGGCUGCAGCAGAGAGCGGAAGGGGACAGGGUGGAAGAUGGGAGCAGGAGAGAGGUAGCCUGUGAGGCCUGCAGGCCAUUACUAGGACCUUUGACAUUGGCAGAAGGCAACCGACCACACAAAUCCAAGGAGAGAUGAUGCUGGUUUUCAAAGAACAGAGAAGUUGCAAGAGGCCUGAUAAACAAGAUUGACACCCCAGCGACAGAAUGGGAGAAAAACGUUUGGACCUCUUGUAACAGACAAAAGAUGAACAUGGCUAAUAAAAGAGCUCCUGAUAGAGAUGUAUAACUGAA
Odocoileus virginianus texanus is the source of this 408-nucleotide long non-coding RNA. RefSeq lists it as uncharacterized. The record is from RefSeq and is a predicted model, not a curated record. Lineage: Eukaryota; Metazoa; Chordata; Mammalia; Artiodactyla; Cervidae.